Non-coding RNA from Verrucomicrobiaceae bacterium TMED76, 91 nucleotides. The record is from Rfam. NCBI's taxonomy places the organism in Bacteria, Pseudomonadati, Verrucomicrobiota, Verrucomicrobiia, Verrucomicrobiales, Verrucomicrobiaceae.
GGGGAGUGAUGGGUGCCUGGUGGCCUCCGCGGUCUUCAAAACCGUUGAGGGUAGUUAUGCUGCCCUGGUUGGUUCGAUUCCUUCCCUCUCC